GUUGGGCCAUCGUCUUUCCAUUCGGUAAGUGCUCUUAUUUUGCAGAGGAAAGUUGAAAAACAAAUUAAAUUCAGACAGAUCACUUGAUGAAUACGAUUUCAUGAAAGUCGGAAAGCAGACAAACAAUGUGUACGAGUUGACGGCUAUUUAUGAAGCAACAGAAGUGGUUAGAUG
RNAcentral lists this small RNA (174 nucleotides) under Caenorhabditis elegans. RNAcentral describes it as "Unclassified non-coding RNA ZK938.13". The record is from RNAcentral. Lineage: Eukaryota; Metazoa; Nematoda; Chromadorea; Rhabditida; Rhabditidae.